Molecule: ribosomal RNA, 83 nt
Filed under: Chinchilla lanigera (long-tailed chinchilla)
Lineage: Eukaryota; Metazoa; Chordata; Mammalia; Rodentia; Chinchillidae
Source: RNAcentral
AUCUACGGCCGUACCACCCUCAGCACGCCUGAUCGCGUCUGACAUCGGGAGCUAAGCAGGGUCGUUCUUGUUAGCGGUUGGAA